AGUGAACGCUGGCGGUAGGCCUAACACAUGCAAGUCGAACGGCAGCACAGUAAGAGCUUGCUCUUACGGGUGGCGAGUGGCGGACGGGUGAGGAAUACAUCGGAAUCUACUUUUUCGUGGGGGAUAACGUAGGGAAACUUACGCUAAUACCGCAUACGACCUACGGGCGAAAGCAGGGGAUAUUCGGACCUUGCGCGAUUGAAUGAGCCGAUGUCGGAUUAGCUAGUUGGCGGGGUAAAGGCCCACCAAGGCGACGAUCCGUAGCUGGUCUGAGAGGAUGAUCAGCCACACUGGAACUGAGACACGGUCCAGACUCCUACGGGAGGCAGCAGUGGGGAAUAUUUGACAAUGGGCGCAAGCCUGAUCCAGCCAUACCGCGUGAGUGACGAAGGCCUUCGGGUUGUAAAGCCCUUUUAUUGGGAAAGAAAAACCGCGGAUUAAUACCCCGCUGUUCUGACGGUACCCAAUGAAUAAGCACCGGCUAACUUCGUG
RNAcentral lists this ribosomal RNA (492 nucleotides) under uncultured bacterium. RNAcentral describes it as "partial 16S ribosomal RNA". It matches the Rfam family "Bacterial small subunit ribosomal RNA", at positions 29 to 507 of the family's 1533-position model. The record is from RNAcentral.